Molecule: ribosomal RNA, 253 nt
Filed under: uncultured bacterium
Lineage: Bacteria
Description: partial 16S ribosomal RNA
Rfam family: Bacterial small subunit ribosomal RNA
Source: RNAcentral
GACAGAGGUGCCAAGUGUUAGGCGGAAUCACUGGGCUUAAAGCGUGUGUAGGCGGGUCGUUAAGUACCUUGUGAAAUCCCCCGGCUCAACCGGGGAACGGCUGGGUAUACUGGCGAUCUUGAGCCACCUAGGGGCAGUCGGAACAAGUGGUGGAGCGGUGAAAUGCGUAGAUAUCACUUGGAACGCCAAUGGUGAAAACAGACUGCUGGGGGUGUGCUGACGCUGAGACACGAAAGCCAGGGGAGCAAACGGG